UACGAAGGGGGCUAGCGUUGUUCGGAUUUACUGGGCGUAAAGCGCGUGUAGGCGGGCCGUUAAGUUGGGGGUGAAAGCCCGGAGCUCAACUCCGGAACUGCCUUCAAAACUGGCGGCCUUGAGCAUGAUAGAGGCGAGUGGAAUUCCGAGUGUAGAGGUGAAAUUCGUAGAUAUUCGGAGGAACACCAGUGGCGAAGGCGACUCGCUGGGUCAUUGCUGACGCUGAGACGCGAAAGCGUGGGGAGCAAACAGG
This 253-nucleotide ribosomal RNA is filed under the name uncultured bacterium. RNAcentral's name for it is "partial 16S ribosomal RNA". It matches the Rfam family "Bacterial small subunit ribosomal RNA", at positions 524 to 776 of the family's 1533-position model. The record is from RNAcentral.